RNAcentral lists this ribosomal RNA (351 nucleotides) under Triticum aestivum (bread wheat). RNAcentral describes it as "partial small subunit ribosomal RNA". Lineage: Eukaryota; Viridiplantae; Streptophyta; Magnoliopsida; Poales; Poaceae. The record is from RNAcentral.
AUGUGCCAGCUAAGGCUCGUCACCAACAUGAGGGCUCAUAAUGACACAUGGUUUGCAGAUUACUUGCUAAGGGUUAGCAAUGGCACCGUGGAAGCUGACAAUCAAGGCAACAUAUGACUCCGUGAUGAUACUUGUGUGCCUUAUACAGGUGAAGUGGACAACCUGGAGAAGUUGAUUGACCAUGUAUUUCCUAGUCUAGAUGACAACAUGUUUGAUCCGAAUUACAUGACUUCUCGCGCAAUCCUCUUCACCACGAAUGACAACGUCGACAAGAUAAUCAUACGCAUGAUAGAGCGUUUUCAGGGAGAAGAAGUGAUCUACCAUAUGGCUACUACGCUCCCGAGUUCCUGA